RNAcentral lists this non-coding RNA (29 nucleotides) under Rattus norvegicus (Norway rat). Lineage: Eukaryota; Metazoa; Chordata; Mammalia; Rodentia; Muridae. The record is from RNAcentral.
UGGAAUUCUUCCAUAAAUUUGAGGAAUUA